GACGAACGCUGGCGGCGUGCUUAACACAUGCAAGUCGAGCGGUAAGGCCCUUUCGGGGGUACACGAGCGGCGAACGGGUGAGUAACACGUGGGUGACCUGCCCUCAGCUCUGGGAUAAGCCUGGGAAACCGGGUCUAAUACCGGAUAUGACUCCAUGACGCAUGUUGUGGGGUGGAAAGCCUUGUGCGGCUGAGGAUGGGCCCGCGGCCUAUCAGCUUGUUGGUGGGGUGAUGGCCUACCAAGGCGACGACGGGUAGCCGGCCUGAGAGGGCGACCGGCCACACUGGGACUGAGACACGGCCCAGACUCCUACGGGAGGCAGCAGUGGGGAAUUGUUCACAAUGGGCGCAAGCCUGAUGACGCAACGCCGCGUGGGGAUGAAGGUCUUCGGAUUGUAAACCCCUGUCGAAUGGGACGAAUGAAUCGCGCACUAACACUGCGCGGAAAUGACGGUACCGUUAAAGGAAGCCACGGCUAACUCUGUGCCAGCAGCCGCCGCGGUAAC
Molecule: ribosomal RNA, 505 nt
Filed under: uncultured bacterium
Lineage: Bacteria
Description: bacterial SSU rRNA
Rfam family: Bacterial small subunit ribosomal RNA
Source: RNAcentral